AGAGCGAACGCUGGCGGCAGGCCUAACACAUGCAAGUCGAGCGCCCCGCAAGGGGAGCGGCAGACGGGAGAGUAACACGUGGGAACGUACCCUUUGGUUCGGAACAACACAGGGAAACUUGUGCUAAUACCGGAUAAGCCCUUACGGGGAAAGAUUUAUCGCCAAAGGAUCGGCCCGCGUCUGAUUAGCUUGUUGGUGAGGUAACGGUUCACCGAAGGCUACGAUCAAUAGCUGGUCUGAGAGGAUGAUCAGCCUCACUGGGACUGAGACACGGCCCAGACUCCUACGGGAGGCAGCAGUGGGGAAUAUGGACAAUGGCGCAAGCCUGAUCCAGCCAUGCCGCGUGGAUGAUGAAGGCCCUAGGGUUGUAAAGUCCUUUCGACGGGAAGAUAAUGACGGUACCCGUAGAAGAAGCCCCGGCUAACUUCGUGCCAGCAGCCGC
Molecule: ribosomal RNA, 442 nt
Filed under: uncultured bacterium
Lineage: Bacteria
Description: SSU rRNA
Rfam family: Bacterial small subunit ribosomal RNA
Source: RNAcentral